CCUACGGGAGGCAGCAGUGGGGAAUAUUGGACAAUGGGGGGAACCCUGAUCCAGCGACGCCGCGUGAGUGAAGAAGUAUUUCGGUAUGUAAAGCUCUAUCAGCAGGGAAGAAAGAAAUGACGGUACCUGACUAAGAAGCCCCGGCUAACUACGUGCCAGCAGCCGCGGUAAUACGUAGGGGGCAAGCGUUAUCCGGAUUUACUGGGUGUAAAGGGAGCGUAGACGGCGAUGCAAGUCUGAAGUGAAAGGCGGGGGCCCAACCCCCGGACUGCUUUGGAAACUGUAUGGCUGGAGUGCAGGAGAGGUAAGUGGAAUGCGUGGUGUAGCGGUGAAAUGCAUAGAUAUCACGCAGAACCCCGAUUGCGAAGGCAGCAUACCGGUGCACAACUGACGCUCAGGCACGAAAGCGUGGGUAUCGAACAGGAUUAGAUACCCUAGUAGUC
This 443-nucleotide ribosomal RNA is filed under the name uncultured bacterium. Its description in RNAcentral is "partial 16S ribosomal RNA". It matches the Rfam family "Bacterial small subunit ribosomal RNA", at positions 338 to 795 of the family's 1533-position model. The record is from RNAcentral.